RNAcentral lists this ribosomal RNA (460 nucleotides) under Gyraulus sp. clade A TS-2018. RNAcentral describes it as "partial 16S ribosomal RNA". It matches the Rfam family "Bacterial large subunit ribosomal RNA", at positions 1796 to 2620 of the family's 2925-position model. The record is from RNAcentral. Lineage: Eukaryota; Metazoa; Mollusca; Gastropoda; Planorbidae.
UCGCCUGUUUAUCAAAAACAUAGUUUUAUGAUUAUAUAUAAAAUAUUUUCUGCCCAGUGUCAGUAGAUAAAUGGCCGCAGUACCUUGACUGUGCUAAGGUAGCAUAAUCAAUUGGCUUUUAAUUGAAGUCUAGAAUGAAUGGGAUAAUGGAAUUUAGCUGUCUCGAUUUUUUUAAUAAAAAUUUAUUUAUAAGGUGAAAAUACCUUAAAUUAUAAUAAAGACGAGAAGACCCUAUGAAUUUUUAAAUUUUUUUUGUUGGGGCGACAGUUUAAAAAUAAAUCUUAAAUUUUAAAUAUAUAACGAUUUUUUUAAUAAAAAUUAAAUUACCUUAGGGAUAACAGCAUUAUUAUUCAAAUAGUUUGUGACCUCGAUGUUGGACUAGGAACUAAAAGGCUAACCGUCUUUAUAGAUUUGUUCUGUUCGAACAAUUUUAUCCUACGUGAUCUGAGUUCAGACCGGA